Molecule: ribosomal RNA, 312 nt
Filed under: Escherichia coli
Lineage: Bacteria; Pseudomonadati; Pseudomonadota; Gammaproteobacteria; Enterobacterales; Enterobacteriaceae
Description: bacterial SSU rRNA
Rfam family: Bacterial small subunit ribosomal RNA
Source: RNAcentral
AAAUUGAAGAGUUUGAUCAUGGCUCAGAUUGAACGCUGGCGGCAGGCCUAACACAUGCAAGUCGAACGGUAACAGGAAGAAGCUUGCUUCUUUGCUGACGAGUGGCGGACGGGUGAGUAAUGUCUGGGAAACUGCCUGAUGGAGGGGGAUAACUACUGGAAACGGUAGCUAAUACCGCAUAACGUCGCAAGACCAAAGAGGGGGACCUUCGGGCCUCUUGCCAUCGGAUGUGCCCAGAUGGGAUUAGCUUGUUGGUGGGGUAACGGCUCACCAAGGCGACGAUCCCUAGCUGGUCUGAGAGGAUGACCAGCC